Molecule: ribosomal RNA, 1345 nt
Filed under: uncultured bacterium
Lineage: Bacteria
Description: bacterial SSU rRNA
Rfam family: Bacterial small subunit ribosomal RNA
Source: RNAcentral
GACUAACGCUGGGGGUUCGCUUGCACAUGCAAGUCGAGCGAUGAGAUUUCUACUGAUCCCUUCAGGGUGAAGAUGAAAUGGAUUACCGGCGGACGGUGGACUCACUCUUGAGUAACCUGCCUUAGACAUUGGGAUAGCCUCGAUAAACCGGGAUGAACACCUGAUGGAAUCGCAUAUGCACAUGCAUAAGUGAUCAAAGCUCCUGCGGUCUAAUAUGGACUCUCGUCCCAUUAUCUACUUGGUGAGGUAACAGCCCACCACGGCCACGAUGGGUAGCCGGCCUGACAGGGUGAACGGACACAUUGGAACUGAUACACGGUCCAAACUCCUACGGAAGGCAGCAGUGGGGAAUAUUGCACAAUGGAGGCAACUCUGAUGCAGCGACGCCGCGUGAACGAAGAACGCUUUCCAGUCGUAAAGUUCUUUUAUAUGGGAAGAUAAUGACGGUACCAUAAGAAAAAGCCCCGGCUAACUACGUGCCAGCAGCCGCGGUAAUACGUAGGGGGCUAGCGUUGUCCGGAAUCACUGUGCGUAAAGGGUUCUCAGGCGGAAAUGCACGUCACGUGUAAAAGGCAGUAGCUUAACUACUGUAAGCAUUUGAAACUGCAUAUCUUGAGAAGAGUAGAGGUAAGUGGAAUUUUUAGUGUAGCGGUGAAAUGCGUAGAUAUUAUAAAGAAUACCGGUGGCGAAGGCGACUUACUGGGCUCAUUCUGACGCUGAGGAACGAAAGCGUGGGUAGCAAACAGGAUUAGAUACCCUGCUAGUCCACGCUGUAAACGAUGAGUGCUAGGUAUCGGAAUAAUUCGGUUCUGCAGUUAACACAUUAAGCACUCCGCCUGGGGAGUACGUGCGCAAGCAUGAAACUCUAAGGAAUUGACGGGGACCCGCACACCCCGCCGAGCAUGUGGGUUAAUUCGAAGCAACGCGAAGAACCUUACCAGGGCUUGACAUACUGAGGACCGGUACAGAGAUAUACCCUCUUCCUCGGAAGCCUCAAUACAGGGGGGGCAUGGUUGUUGUCAGCUUGUGUUGUGAGAUGUUCAGUUAAGUCUGGCAACGAGCGCAACCCCUAUCUUUAGUUACCAGCAUUUCGGAUGGGGACUCUAAAGAGACUGCCGAUGAUAAAUCGGAGGAAGGUGGGGAUGACGUCAAAUCAUCAUGCCNUUAUGUCCCUGGGUUACACCCGUGUUCCAAUGGAAGAUCCAAAGGGAAGGGAAAUAGUGAUAGUAAGCAAUCCUCAAAAAGUCUUUUCCAGUUGGGUUGGUGUUUUGCAAUUGGAGUACAGGAAGAGGGAGUUGUUGGUAAUGGCAGUUCAGAAUGCUGCGGUGAAUGCGUUCUCGGGUCU